Molecule: transfer RNA, 73 nt
Filed under: Camelus bactrianus (Bactrian camel)
Lineage: Eukaryota; Metazoa; Chordata; Mammalia; Artiodactyla; Camelidae
Also listed under: 1 other name
Rfam family: tRNA
About the family: Transfer RNA (tRNA) molecules are approximately 80 nucleotides in length.
Source: Rfam by way of RNAcentral
GAGGCUAUAGCUCAUGUGGUAGAAAGCAUGCUUAGCAUGCAUGAGGUCCUGGGUUCAAUCCCCAGUACCUCCU